RNAcentral lists this ribosomal RNA (506 nucleotides) under uncultured bacterium. RNAcentral's name for it is "partial 16S ribosomal RNA". It matches the Rfam family "Bacterial small subunit ribosomal RNA", at positions 29 to 523 of the family's 1533-position model. The record is from RNAcentral.
AGUGAACGCUGGCGGUAGGCCUAACACAUGCAAGUCGAACGGCAGCACAGGAGAGCUUGCUCUCUGGGUGGCGAGUGGCGGACGGGUGAGGAAUACAUCGGAAUCUACUUUUUCGUGGGGGAUAACGUAGGGAUACUUACGCUAAUACCGCAUACGACCUACGGGUGAAAGCAGGGGAUAUUCGGACCUUGCGCGAUUGAAUGAGCCGAUGUCGGAUUAGCUAGUUGGCGGGGUAAAGGCCCACCAAGGCGAGGAUCCGUAGCUGGUCUGAGGGGAUGAGCAGCCACACGGGAACUGAGACACGGUCCAGACUCCUACGGGAGGAGGCAGUGGGGAAUAUUGGACAAUGGGCGCAAGCCUGAGCCAGCCAUACCGCGUGGGUGAGGAAGGCCGUCGGGUUGUAAAGCCCUUUCGUUGGGAAAGAAAUCCAGCUGGUUAAUACCCGGUUGGGAUGACGGUACCCAAAGAAUAAGCACCGGCUAACUUCGUGCCAGCAGCCGCCGUAA